GGGGACAACCUUCCGAAAGGGAGGCUAAUCCCGCGUAUAUCGGUUCGGGCAUCCGAGAUCGAGGAAAGGAUUCAUCCGGAAGAGGAUGGGCAUGCGGCGCAUUAGCUAGACGGCGGGGUAACGGCCCACCGUGGCGACGAUGCGUAGGGGUUCUGAGAGGAAGGUCCCCCACACUGGUACUGAGACACGGACCAGACUCCUACGGGAGGCAGCAGUGAGGAAUAUUGGUCAAUGGGAGAGAUCCUGAACCAGCCAAGCCGCGUGAGGGAAGACGGCCCUAUGGGUUGUAAACCUCUUUUGUCGGAGAACAAAACCCGGGACGUGUCCCGGACUGCGUGUAUCCGAAGAAAAAGCAUCGGCUAACUCCGUGCCAGCAGCCGCGGUAAUACGGAGGAUGCGAGCGUUAUCCGGAUUUAUUGGGUUUAAAGGGUGCGUAGGCGGUCCGUUAAGUCAGCGGUAAAAUUGCGGGGCUCAACCCCGUCGAGCCGUUGAAACUGGCAGACUUGAGUUGGCGAGAAGUACGCGGAAUGCGCGGUGUAGCGGUGAAAUGCAUAGAUAUCGCGCAGAACUCCGAUUGCGAAGGCAGCGUACCGGCGCCAGACUGACGCUGAGGCACGAAAGCGUGGGGAUCGAACAGGAUUAGAUACCCUGGUAGUCCACGCAGUAAACG
RNAcentral lists this ribosomal RNA (670 nucleotides) under uncultured bacterium. Its description in RNAcentral is "bacterial SSU rRNA". It matches the Rfam family "Bacterial small subunit ribosomal RNA", at positions 139 to 808 of the family's 1533-position model. The record is from RNAcentral.